AGAGUUUGAUUCUGGCUCAGAACGAACGCUGGCAGCGUGGAUUAGGCAUGCAAGUCGAACGAGAUUCCCGCGGGUAGCAAUACUGGCGGGAUGACAGUGGCGGAAGGGCGAGUAACGCAUGGGUAAGCUGCCCUCAAGCUGGGGACAACUUCGCGAAAGCGGAGCUAAUACCGAAUGUGGUACUGCGGCGCAUGUCGCAAGUACUAAAGGUGGGGAUCUUCGGACCUGCCGCUUGAGGAGGUGCCCGUGUGCCAUCAGCUUGUUGGUGAGGUAACGGCUCACCAAGGCUUUGACGGCUAGCUGGUCUGAGAGGACGACCAGCCGCACUGGGACUGAGACACUGCCCAGACUCCUACGGUAGGCUGCAGUCGAGGAUCAUUCGCAAUGCGCGAAAGCGUGACGAUGCGACGCUGCGUGGAGGAUUGAAGGCCUUCGGGUUGUAAACUCCUGUCAUGAGGGAAAAGUCGUACGGGUGUGAAUAGCGCCUGUACUCGAUGGUACCUCAAGAGGAAGCCACGGCCAACUCUGUGCCAGCAGCCGCGGUAAUACAGAGGUGGCGAGCGUUGUUCGGAUUUACUGGGCGUAAAGCGUGUGUAGGCGGUUCGGUAUGUCGGAUGUGAAAUCCUGGGGCUCAACCUCAGAAGUGCAUCCGAAACUACCGCACUAGAGUGCAGGAGGGGAGAGCGGAAUUCAUGGUGUAGCGGUGAAAUGCGCUGAUAUCAUGAAGAACACCGGUGGCGAAGGCGGCUCUCUGGAAUGCUACUGACGCUGAGACACGAGAGCUGGGGGAGCAAACAGGAUUAGAUACCCUGGUAGUCCCAGCUGUAAACGGUGCGCACUUGGCGUGGGGGGAUUUGACCCCCUCCGUGCCGGAGCUAACGUGUUAAGUGCGCCGCCUGGGGAGUACGGCCGCAAGGUUAAAACUCAAAGAAAUUGACGGGGGCCCGCACAAGCGGAGGAGCAUGUGGCUUAAUUCGAUGCAACGCGAAGAACCUUACCUGGGUUUGACAUGUAGCUGCAAGCCUGUCGAAAGACGGGCCGCCUUCGAGGGUGCUACACAGGUGCUGCAUGGCUGUCGUCAGUUCGUGCCGUGAGGUGUUGGGUUAAGUCCCGCAACGAACGCAACCCCUAUGUUUAGUUGCCAGCGGGUAAUGCCGGGAACUCUAGACAGACUGCCCGUACACGCGGGAGGAAGGUGGGGACGACGUCAAGUCAGUAUGGCCCUUACACCCAGGGCUGCACACGUGCUACAAUGGUCGGUACAAAGGGACGCAAAGCCGCGAGGUGGAGCAAAUCCUCAAAACCGGCCUCAGUUCAGAUUGUAGUCUGCAACUCGACUACAUGAAGUCGGAUUCGCUAGUAACGGCGUAUCAGCUACGACGCCGUGAAUACGUUCCCGGGCCUUGUACACACCGCCCGUCACGUCAUGAAAGCCGUCUGCACCCGAAGUCACUGAGCUAUCCCGCAAGGGAGGCAGGUGCCGAAGGUGUGGGUGGUGAUUGGGACGAAGUCGAAACAAGGUA
RNAcentral lists this ribosomal RNA (1523 nucleotides) under metagenome. RNAcentral's name for it is "bacterial SSU rRNA". It matches the Rfam family "Bacterial small subunit ribosomal RNA". The record is from RNAcentral.